CCCUGCAGGAGUCCCAGCUCUCACUGGGUGGCCAGAGCUGUGCAGGAGAGCCAGAUGAGGAACUGGUUGGUGCCUUCCCUAUUUUUGUCCGGAAUGCCAUCCUGGGCCAGAAACAGCCCAAGAGGCCCAGGUCAGAGUCCUCUUGCAGCAAAGAUGUGGUAAGGACAGGCUUCGAUGGGCUCGGUGGCCGGACAAAAUUCAUCCAGCCUGUAUCCUUUUCCCGUGAUGUUGAGCUGAGCUGAGCUGUGGAGCCCGUACUAUGCCUCACCUAUACCCCCAGCCUGCCAGUGCCAACAGCCUCAGGUGUGCAGUGCUGGGCCUCAUUCUGUGUAUCAGGGCCGCCCACCCCCGGCUCUGAGCCUUUCUUGCCCUGCAUUGCAGUCCUUUCUCCAUGCCUCUUCCUUGACAGCUCCUCCAGACUGACACAGUCAUGAUCCGCCCAUUGCCUGUUAAGCCCAAGACCAAGGCUAAGCAGAGAGUGAGGGUGAAGACAGUGCCUUCUCUCUCCCAGGCCAAGCUGGACACCUUCCUGUGGUCGUGAGAACAGUGAGUCUGACCAAUGGCCAGACACAUGCCUGCAACUUGUAGGUCAAGGACUGUCCAGGCAGGGGUUUUGUGGACAGAGCCCCACUUUCGGGACCAGCCUGAGGCGUAAGGGCAGACAAACAGGUGAGGGUGAGUGUGACACCCAGAGACUGCUCUUCCUGCCCUCACCCUGCCCCACUCCUACGACUGGGAGCUGACAUGACCAGCCCACUGAUCCUGUCAGCAGGUCCUGCUCCUGUUGCCAGGCUCCUGUUUAUAGCCAUGAUCAGAUGUGGUCAGACUCUUUCUGGGCCUGGAGACCACGGUCACUUGUUGACUGUCUCUGUGGACCAGAGUGCUUGAGGCAUCUCAGGCAGCCUCAGCCCAAGCUUCUACCUGCCUUUGACUUGCUUCUAGGCAUAGCCUGGGCCAAGCAGGGUGGGGAAUGGAGGAUAGCAUGGGAUGUAUGGAGAGGAUGGAAGAUUUUCAUGUAAAAUA
RNAcentral lists this small RNA (1023 nucleotides) under Pan troglodytes (chimpanzee). RNAcentral describes it as "retained intron". The record is from RNAcentral. Lineage: Eukaryota; Metazoa; Chordata; Mammalia; Primates; Hominidae.